GAUGAACGCUGGCGGCGUGCUUAACACAUGCCAGUCGAACGGAAAGGCCCAAGCUUGCUUGGGUACUCGAGUGGCGAACGGGUGAGUAACACGUGGGUGAUCUGCCCUGCACUUCGGGAUAAGCCUGGGAAACUGGGUCUAAUACCGGAUAGGACCACAUUUUGGAUGGUGUGGUGGAAAGUUUUUCGGUGUGGGAUGAGCUCGCGGCCUAUCAGCUUGUUGGUGGGGUAAUGGCCUACCAAGGCGUCGACGGGUAGCCGGCCUGAGAGGGUGUACGGCCACAGUGGGACUGAGAUACGGCCCAGACUCCUACGGGAGGCAGCAGUGGGGAAUAUUGCACAAUGGGCGCAAGCCUGAUGCAGCGACGCCGCGUGGGGGAUGACGGCCUUCGGGUUGUAAACUCCUUUCGCUAGGGACGAAGCGUUUUUGUGACGGUACCUGGAGAAGAAGCACCGGCUAACUACGUG
Molecule: ribosomal RNA, 467 nt
Filed under: uncultured bacterium
Lineage: Bacteria
Description: partial 16S ribosomal RNA
Rfam family: Bacterial small subunit ribosomal RNA
Source: RNAcentral